RNAcentral lists this unclassified non-coding RNA (630 nucleotides) under Hevea brasiliensis (rubber tree). The record is from RNAcentral. Lineage: Eukaryota; Viridiplantae; Streptophyta; Magnoliopsida; Malpighiales; Euphorbiaceae.
AAGACAUACAACACUAGCUACAAGGACAAGAAACCAAUGGCACCUUCUCAGUUAGAUCGCCUGGCCAGGAUCGGACGUGAAGGUUUUGCUCUAAUAGACGAGUGCUAUGGUCGGACCAACGCGAGCGAUAGAUCUGGCAUCAGCAGAAUUCAAAACAAUUAUCACAGCCACAGCCAGUACCAACAGCCUUUAGUUUAUCAUGGGCCUCAAAUUUCAACGGUGAGGGUGCCAGUCGUCACCAGCAACUACGAGAUAGCUCAACACUACUAUACUGGCAUGGCAGCGGGAGAGCCUGUCAUCACUAGCGACAAGGCAGCGGAAAAUUAUGAUGGCUUUUCGAUUGUUGAACAUGGUAGGAGAUAUCCUUUUCGCAGGGCUAAUAAUUAUUAGAGUUGAAGGUACCAUAGAUCUUAGUGUUUCUUGAUAGUUUUUUUAAAGAGAUGCAUGGCGUGGUUGGUAUAUGAUCGAGUUACGUACUGGCUUACUGCUGAAUGAGAGAAUGUAAGCCUCUUGUAUUGAAAGUUCGAGUGCAGUGAGUAUUAGUCUAUAGAUAUAGCUAGCUAAGUUUGCAUGGACCCAAAAUCAUCCUGUGGUAUGAAAAAAAAAAUGUAGCAAGAGGGUUGUAUUUUG